Molecule: ribosomal RNA, 429 nt
Filed under: Chloroflexota bacterium
Lineage: Bacteria; Bacillati; Chloroflexota
Description: Chloroflexi bacterium partial 16S ribosomal RNA
Rfam family: Bacterial small subunit ribosomal RNA
Source: RNAcentral
UGGGGAAUAUUGCACAAUGGGCGCAAGCCUGAUGCAGCCAUGCCGCGUGUAUGAAGAAGGCCUUCGGGUUGUAAAGUACUUUCAGUCGGGAGGAAGGUGUCAAGGUUAAUAACCUUGGCAAUUGACGUUACCGACAGAAGAAGCUCCGGCUAACUCCGUGCCAGCAGCCGCGGUAAUACGGAGGGUGCAAGCGUUAAUCGGAAUUACUGGGCGUAAAGCGCACGCAGGCGGUUGAUUGAGUCAGAUGUGAAAUCCCCGGGCUUAACCCGGGAAUUGCAUCUGAUACUGGUCAGCUAGAGUCUUGUAGAGGGGGGUAGAAUUCCAUGUGUAGCGGUGAAAUGCGUAGAGAUGUGGAGGAAUACCGGUGGCGAAGGCGGCCCCCUGGACAAAGACUGACGCUCAGGUGCGAAAGCGUGGGGAGCAAACAGG